This 429-nucleotide ribosomal RNA is filed under the name Bacillota bacterium. Its description in RNAcentral is "Firmicutes bacterium partial 16S ribosomal RNA". It matches the Rfam family "Bacterial small subunit ribosomal RNA", at positions 355 to 776 of the family's 1533-position model. Lineage: Bacteria; Bacillati; Bacillota. The record is from RNAcentral.
UGGGGAAUUUUGGACAAUGGGCGAAAGCCUGAUCCAGCAAUGCCGCGUGUGUGAAGAAGGCCUUCGGGUUGUAAAGCACUUUUGUCCGGAAAGAAAUGGCUCUGGUUAAUACCUGGGGUCGAUGACGGUACCGGAAGAAUAAGGACCGGCUAACUACGUGCCAGCAGCCGCGGUAAUACGUAGGGUCCAAGCGUUAAUCGGAAUUACUGGGCGUAAAGCGUGCGCAGGCGGUUGUGCAAGACCGAUUUGAAAUCCCCGAGCUUAACUUGGGAAUUGCAGUGGUGACUGCACGGCUAGAGUGUGUCAGAGGGGGGUAGAAUUCCACGUGUAGCAGUGAAAUGCGUAGAGAUUUGGAGAAAUACCGAGGGCGAAGUCAGCCCCCUGUGAUAACACUGACGCUCAUACACGAAGGCUUGGUUGGCAAACAGA